AUUGAACGCUGGCGGCAUGCCUUACACAUGCAAGUCGAACGGCAGCACGGGAGCAAUCCUGGUGGCGAGUGGCGAACGGGUGAGUAAUGCAUCGGAACGUGCCAUUGAGUGGGGGAUAACGUAGCGAAAGUUACGCUAAUACCGCAUAUUCUGUGCGCAGGAAAGCAGGGGAUCGCAAGACCUUGCGCUCUUUGAGCGGCCGAUGUCAGAUUAGCUAGUUGGUGGGGUAAAGGCUCACCAAGGCGACGAUCUGUAGCGGGUCUGAGAGGAUGAUCCGCCACACUGGGACUGAGACACGGCCCAGACUCCUACGGGAGGCAGCAGUGGGGAAUUUUGGACAAUGGGGGCAACCCUGAUCCAGCCAUGCCGCGUGAGUGAAGAAGGCCUCGGUUGUAAGACUCUUUCGGUCCGGACGGAAUACGCACAGGUUAAGUAACCUCGUGUGGAUGACGGUACCGGACGUAACGAAGACACCGGCCUAACUACGUAGCCACG
This 495-nucleotide ribosomal RNA is filed under the name uncultured bacterium. Its description in RNAcentral is "bacterial SSU rRNA". It matches the Rfam family "Bacterial small subunit ribosomal RNA", at positions 30 to 519 of the family's 1533-position model. The record is from RNAcentral.